This 252-nucleotide ribosomal RNA is filed under the name uncultured Bacteroidales bacterium. RNAcentral describes it as "partial 16S ribosomal RNA". It matches the Rfam family "Bacterial small subunit ribosomal RNA", at positions 524 to 776 of the family's 1533-position model. Lineage: Bacteria; Pseudomonadati; Bacteroidota; Bacteroidia; Bacteroidales. The record is from RNAcentral.
UACGGAGGAUGCGAGCGUUAUCCGGAUUUAUUGGGUUUAAAGGGUGCGUAGGCGGGUUAUCAAGUCAGCGGUAAAAUCGUGGAGCUCAACCCCGUCGAGCCGUUUGAACUGGCGCGCUUGAGUUCAGGCGAGGUAGGCGGAAUUCGUGGUGUAGCGGUGAAAUGCAUAGAUAUCACGAAGAACUCCGAUUGCGAAGGCAGCAUACCGGCGCCCUACUGACGCUGAGGCACGAAAGUGCGGGUAUCGAACAGG